This 408-nucleotide ribosomal RNA is filed under the name uncultured bacterium. RNAcentral's name for it is "bacterial SSU rRNA". It matches the Rfam family "Bacterial small subunit ribosomal RNA", at positions 29 to 428 of the family's 1533-position model. The record is from RNAcentral.
AACGAACGCUGGCGGCGCGCCUAAUACAUGCAAGUCGAGCGAGAAGACGUAGCAAUACGUUUGUAAAGCGGCGAACGGGUGAGGAAUACAUGGGUAACCUACCCUCGAGUGGGGAAUAACUAGCCGAAAGGUUAGCUAAUACCGCGUACGCUCCUUGGACUUCGGUUCAGGGAGGAAAGCGAUACCGUGGGUAUCGCGCUCUUGGAUGGGCUCAUGUCCUAUCAGCUUGUUGGUGAGGUAACGGCUCACCAAGGCUUCGACGGGUAGCUGGUCUGAGAGGACGAUCAGCCACACUGGCACUGCGACACGGGCCAGACUCCUACGGGAGGCAGCAGUAAGGAAUAUUGCGCAAUGGGCAAAGCCUGACGCAGCGACGCCGCGUGGGGGAUGAAGGUCUUCGGAUUGUAA